Molecule: long non-coding RNA, 1254 nt
Filed under: Malus domestica (apple)
Lineage: Eukaryota; Viridiplantae; Streptophyta; Magnoliopsida; Rosales; Rosaceae
Description: long non-coding RNA (MDOM_LNC010752)
Source: RNAcentral
GUAUUGCCGCGUGAUUCGUACCAAACAUCCCAAACUCGUUUGAAUUGUACUUCCAAGUUGGAGAUAUGGUUUGCAUCUCGCUUAACUUGUACUAGAAAAUAUCAAGAUAAUUUAUUAUUAAAAAAUAAUUAUUAUGAUUGAAAACCACAAUAUUAUCCCAUAAUAAUGACAAAAUUAUCUUAACUUUCCAUCCAACAGUCUAAAACUUUGAUCAUUCAACGACCUAGAACUUUGCUCUAGCUAAUGAUGUAAAAUGGGGUAUAAACGGAUUAAUUAGGAAUGUUGGAUCAUACAUCUCUCUGAAUGAGUUGCAUAAAUUAAAAGUGUUCAUAAUUUUCUUGGGAUAAAAGAGAAAAUCUUGAGAUAAUUGGUAUUUCGGAAAUAAGAGCCAAGUAAUUGGUAUCUGAGUUAGUUAUCUUUGUGGUAGCAAAUUUUCACCGUCUUCAGUAUUAACAAAACUAUACCUACAAAACAAUAAACACCUUCGAUCAAGGCCAAAGCCUCACGUGACGACAAGGUGGGUGGAUGAUUUGGCUAAUGGAUCUACAAUGACUAAGUGAGUUUCUCUAAAAAGAUGGAGUGUUUAGGGCUUAAGUGAUCAGCAAAAGCUUACCAGAAAUUGGUGGAGAUAAGGUACUAAUAAGGAGGUGGUCGACCUAGGCAUUAUUGCCUUCUUUGAGAAAAUCUCGUGUGUUGUCUCUAAGAUUUUUUGAAUUACUUUUGGCUCCACAAUUUUCAUAGUCUAUUAGUGGCUGGUAUUUGUAGUUAUUGGAUACCUUAAAUGUUUCUUGAAUUCCUAAUAUGUUAAAGUUUCCACUCUCAAACCAAACAAUGUCUAGGUCCAAACAAUAAGUCCCAACGAUGUGGCCUGAGUGGAUGCAACAUGAACAGAGAGAGAAAACCACAGUCAAGUUAGAAACUCAAGCCAAUAGAUAACAUAUUUUGUACUUGUAAACCCCGUAAUUUGUAAAACGAAUUGAUUAUUUAGGACUAAUUCAUCUGCCAGUACUAGCUCUGGAUCUAGCUUAAAUAAGAUCCCAGACACAGUUAAUGAGGAGCAAAAAUUAAAGCUUCAGAAAGAUGAAAAUGUCGAGUUUCUUGAUUGGAAUAUCCCCAAUGUAUCUAAUAAAGAAAUUAUAAGAAGAGAUGGUCAAUUUCAGCAUUUAAACGUGAACAUCAUGUUAAAAACAAUCGAGCAAGCUUACGUUGUUAGUAAAGAACAUGAAACAUGUCAGUUAUUAGGGCCGGCCCUAA